RNAcentral lists this ribosomal RNA (114 nucleotides) under uncultured bacterium. RNAcentral describes it as "partial 16S ribosomal RNA". It matches the Rfam family "Bacterial small subunit ribosomal RNA", at positions 1369 to 1482 of the family's 1533-position model. The record is from RNAcentral.
CGUUUCCGGGCCUUGUACACACCGCCCGUCACACCACGAAAGUGGUUUGUACCCGAAGUCCCCAAUUCAACCCUUUGGGAGAUAGGGCCGAAGGUAUGAAUCAUGAUUGGGGUG